UCCCUGUGAAAACCCUGUCUUUAACUCUGAAGCAGAACAAAAGACAAUUCAGGUUUUGAGCAGAUUGUCAUUUGUUCUGAUUCAGCAGUAAAGAGUGGGUUUUCAUGGGGA
Non-coding RNA from Podarcis lilfordi (Lilford's wall lizard), 111 nucleotides. The record is from the annotation of a GenBank genome assembly. NCBI's taxonomy places the organism in Eukaryota, Metazoa, Chordata, Lepidosauria, Squamata, Lacertidae.